RNAcentral lists this ribosomal RNA (256 nucleotides) under uncultured bacterium. RNAcentral describes it as "partial 16S ribosomal RNA". It matches the Rfam family "Bacterial small subunit ribosomal RNA", at positions 521 to 776 of the family's 1533-position model. The record is from RNAcentral.
UAAGACGUAGGGGGCAAGCGUUGUCCGGAGUUACUGGGCGUAAAGAGCUCGUAGGCGGCUCUUUAAGUCGGGUGUGAAAGCCCUCGGCUCAACCGAGGAAUUGCAUUCGAUACUGAAGGGCUAGAGUCUGGUAGAGGAAAGCGGAAUUCCCGGUGUAGCGGUGAAAUGCGCAGAUAUCGGGAAGAACACCGGUGGCGAAGGCGGCUUUCUGGGCCAUGACUGACGCUGAGGAGCGAAAGCUAGGGUAGCAAACAGG